This 404-nucleotide ribosomal RNA is filed under the name uncultured bacterium. RNAcentral's name for it is "bacterial SSU rRNA". It matches the Rfam family "Bacterial small subunit ribosomal RNA", at positions 355 to 776 of the family's 1533-position model. The record is from RNAcentral.
UGGGGAAUAUUGCACAAUGGGGGAAACCCUGAUGCAGCGACGCCGCGUGAAGGAAGAAGUAUUUCGGUAUGUAAACUUCUAUCAGCAGGGAAGAAAAUGACGGUACCUGACUAAGAAGCACCGGCUAAAUACGUGCCAGCAGCCGCGGUAAUACGUAUGGUGCAAGCGUUAUCCGGAUUUACUGGGUGUAAAGGGAGCGUAGACGGAGAGGCAAGUCUGAUGUGAAAACCCGGGGCUCAACCCCGGGACUGCAUUGGAAACUGUUUUUCUAGAGUGUCGGAGAGGCAAGUGGAAUUCCUAGUGUAGCGGUGAAAUGCGUAGAUAUUAGGAGGAACACCAGUGGCGAAGGCAGCAUGCCGGCUCCACACUGACGCUGAGGCACGAAAGCGUGGGUAUCGAACAGG